RNAcentral lists this ribosomal RNA (531 nucleotides) under uncultured spirochete. RNAcentral's name for it is "bacterial SSU rRNA". It matches the Rfam family "Bacterial small subunit ribosomal RNA", at positions 202 to 726 of the family's 1533-position model. Lineage: Bacteria; Pseudomonadati; Spirochaetota; Spirochaetia; Spirochaetales. The record is from RNAcentral.
GGCGCUUUGGCGCCGCCAUGAGAUGGGCCCGCGUUCCAUUAGCUAGUUGGGGGUGUAACGGACCACCAAGGCGAUGAUGGGUAGCCGGCCUGAGAGGGUGAACGGCCACACUGGGACUGAGAUACGGCCCAGACUCCUACGGGAGGCAGCAGCUAAGAAUAUUCCGCAAUGGACGAAAGUUUGACGGAGCGACGCCGCGUGGAUGAGGAAGGCCGAAAGGUUGUAAAAUCCUUUUGUUGCUGAAGAAUAAGCGGGGGAGGGAAUGCCCCUGUGAUGACAUUAGGCGAUGAAUAAGCCCCGGCUAAUUACGUGCCAGCAGCCGCGGUAACACGUAAGGGGCGAGCGUUGUUCGGAAUUAUUGGGCGUAAAGGGCACGUAGGCGGUUUUAUAAGCCUGAUGUGAAAGGCCGGGGCUUAACCCCGGGACUGCGUUAGGAACUGUAGGACUUGAGUCAUGGAGGGGGAGUUGGAAUUCCAGGUGUAGGGGUGAAAUCUGUAGAUAUCUGGAAGAACACCGGUGGCGAAGGCGAAC